This 231-nucleotide ribosomal RNA is filed under the name uncultured fungus. RNAcentral describes it as "partial 18S ribosomal RNA". It matches the Rfam family "Eukaryotic small subunit ribosomal RNA", at positions 1045 to 1273 of the family's 1831-position model. Lineage: Eukaryota; Fungi. The record is from RNAcentral.
ACUAGGGAUCGGNCGAUCGUUAUCUUUUUGACUCGCUCGGCACCUUACGAGAAAUCAAAGUCUUUGGGUUCUGGGGGAGGUAUGGUCGCAAGGCUGAAACUUAAAGAAAUUGACGGAAGGGCACCACCAGGAGUAGGANCCUGCGGCUUAAUUUGACUCAACACGGGGAAACUCACCAGGUCCAGACACAAUAAGGAUUGACAGAUUGAGAGCUCUUUCUUGAUUAUGUGG